RNAcentral lists this transfer RNA (26 nucleotides) under Tamarix leptostachya. RNAcentral describes it as "partial tRNA-His". The record is from RNAcentral. Lineage: Eukaryota; Viridiplantae; Streptophyta; Magnoliopsida; Caryophyllales; Tamaricaceae.
GGGCGGAUGUAGCCAAGUGGAUCAAG